CAGCAGCCGCGGUAAUACGGAGGGGGCUAGCGUUGUUCGGAAUUACUGGGCGUAAAGCGCACGUAGGCGGCUUUGCAAGUCAGAGGUGAAAGCCUGGUGCUCAACACCAGAAUUGCCUUUGAGACUGUAUCGCUUGAACGUCGGAGAGGUGAGUGGAAUUCCGAGUGUAGAGGUGAAAUUCGUAGAUAUUCGGAAGAACACCAGUGGCGAAGGCGGCUCACUGGACGACUGUUGACGCUGAGGUGCGAAAGCGUGGGGAGCAAACAGGAUUAGAUACCCCAGUAGUCCCUGUCUCUUAUAC
This 301-nucleotide ribosomal RNA is filed under the name uncultured bacterium. RNAcentral's name for it is "partial 16S ribosomal RNA". It matches the Rfam family "Bacterial small subunit ribosomal RNA", at positions 509 to 807 of the family's 1533-position model. The record is from RNAcentral.